AGAAUGAACGCUGGCGGCAUGCCUAACACAUGCAAGUCGAACGAAGCCUUCGGGUUUAGUGGCGCACGGGUGCGUAACGCGUGGGAAUCUACCCCUUGGUUCGGAAUAACAGUUGGAAACGACUGCUAAUACCGGAUGAUGACGUAAGUCCAAAGAUUUAUCGCCGAGGGAUGAGCCCGCGUAGGAUUAGGUAGUUGGUGUGGUAAAGGCGCACCAAGCCGACGAUCCUUAGCUGGUCUGAGAGGAUGAUCAGCCACACUGGGACUGAGACACGGCCCAGACUCCUACGGGAGGCAGCAGUGGGAAUAUUGGACAAUGGGCGAAAGCCUGAUCCAGCAAUGCCGCGUGAGUGAUGAAGGCCUUAGGGUUGUAAAGCUCUUUUACCCGGGAUGAUAAUGACAGGUACCGGGAGAAUAAGCUCCGGCUAACUCCGCGCCAGCAGCCGC
Molecule: ribosomal RNA, 446 nt
Filed under: uncultured bacterium
Lineage: Bacteria
Description: SSU rRNA
Rfam family: Bacterial small subunit ribosomal RNA
Source: RNAcentral